RNAcentral lists this ribosomal RNA (468 nucleotides) under uncultured bacterium. RNAcentral describes it as "partial 16S ribosomal RNA". It matches the Rfam family "Bacterial small subunit ribosomal RNA", at positions 28 to 507 of the family's 1533-position model. The record is from RNAcentral.
GACGAACGCUGGCGGCGGGCUUAACACAUGCAAGUCGAACGGAAAGGCCCUGCUUUUGUGGGGUGCUCGAGUGGCGAACGGGUGAGUAACACGUGUGUAACCUGCCCUUGACUUUGGGAUAACUUCAGGAAACUGGGGCUAAUACCGUAUAGGAGCUCCUGCUGCAUGGUGGGGGUUGGAAAGUUUCGGCGGUUGGGGAUGGACUCGCGGCUUAUCAGCUUGUUGGUGGGGUAGUGGCUUACCAAGGCUUUGACGGGUAGCCGGCCUGUGAGGGUGACCGGCGACAUUGGGACUGAGAGACGGACCAGACUCGUACGGGAGGCAGCAGUGGGGAAUAUUGCACAAUGGGCGGAAGCCUGAUGCAGCAACGCCGCGUGCGGGAUGACGGCCUUCGGGUUGUAAACCGCUUUCGCCUGUGACGAAGCGUGAGUGACGGUAAUGGGUAAAGAAGCACCGGCUAACUACGUG